Molecule: ribosomal RNA, 468 nt
Filed under: uncultured bacterium
Lineage: Bacteria
Description: partial 16S ribosomal RNA
Rfam family: Bacterial small subunit ribosomal RNA
Source: RNAcentral
GACGAACGCUGGCGGCGUGCUUAACACAUGCAAGUCGAACGGAAAGGCCCUGCUUUUGUGGGGUGCUCGAGUGGCGAACGGGUGAGUAACACGUGAGUAACCUGCCCUUGACUUUGGGAUAACUUCAGGAAACUGGGGCUAAUACCGGCUAGGAGCUCCUGCUGCAUGGGGGGGGUUGGAAAGCUUAGGCGGUUGGGGCUAGACUCGCGGGUUAUGAGCUUGUUGGUGGGGUAGUGGCUUACCGAGGCUUUGACGGGUAGCCGGCCUGGGAGGGUGACCGGCCACAAUGGGCCUGAGAUACGGACCAGUCUGCUACGGGAGGCAGCGGUGGGGAACAUUGCACAAUGGGCGGGAGCCUGAUGCAGCAACGCCGCGUGCGGGAUGCCGGCCUUCGGGUUGUAAACCGCUUUAGCCUGUGACGAAGCGUGAGUGACGGUAAUGGGUAAAGAAGCACCGGCUAACUACGUG